UCUCAAGCUACUAAGGGCGCACGGUGGAUGCCCUGGCGCCAGGGGCCGAGGAAGGACGCUGUCGGCGGCGAUAGGGCCGGGGAGGUGCCUAGCAACCUUCGAUCCGGCCGUCUCCGAAUGGGGAAACCCGGCGCGGGUCAUGCCGCGUCAUCCCGCACUGAAUUCAUAGGUGCGGGAAGGCCAGUCGGGGAACUGAAACAUCUCAGUACCCGGAGGAAGAGAAAUCAACAGCGGCACCCGCGAAGUCCGUCCGGACUUCGCGGGUGCCCGGAGAUUCCCGGAGUAGUGGCGAGCGAAACGGGAAGAGCCCAAACCCGCGGUGCGUGAUAGCCCGCAGGCGUUGCACCGCGGGGGUUGCAGGGCGUCGUCGGGCCGGACUGCGGUCCGGCCGGGAAGUGAGCAAUCCCUGCUCUAGCCGAAAUGUCCUGGAACGGCAUGCCGGAGACGGUGAGAGCCCGGUAGGCGAAAGGGCAGGGACUUCCUGGGCGACGUGCCUGAGUACCACGGGACACGUGGAACCCCGUGGGAAGCUGGGGGGACCACUCUCCAAGGCUAAAUACCCCUGGCGACCGAUAGCGCACGAGUACCGUGAGGGAAAGGUGAAAAGAACCCCGGGAGGGGAGUGAAACAGAACCUGAAACCGUGUGCCUACAGACAGUCGGAGGGCUAUGCCGGUCCCUUCGGGGAUCGGAAUGCCUGACGGCGUGCCUAUUGAAGAAUGAGCCGGUGAGUUGCACUGCGUGGCGAGCUUAAGGGAGAGAAUCCCGGAGGCGGAGGGAAACCGAGUCUGAACAGGGCGCCGCUCCCGGAGGGGAGGGCGCACCAUCCGGUGUGCCAGUCGCGCGGUGCAGACCCGAAACCGGGUGAGCUACCCAUGGCCAGGGUGAAGCGCGGUUAGUCCCGCGUGGAGGCCCGAACCCACUGGUGUUGCAAUACCAGGGGAUGAGCUGUGGGUAGGGGUGAAAUGCCAAUCGAACCCGGAGAUAGCUGGUUCUCCCCGAAAUGCAUUGAGGUGCAGCCCCGGCGGAGCCGCCCGGAGGUAGAGCACUGGAUGGGCUAGGGCGGGAGGACCCGUACCGACCCCAACCAAACUCCGAAUGCCGGGUGGGUGCUCGUCGGGAGUGAGACGGUGGGGGAUAAGCUCCAUCGUCGAGAGGGAAACAACCCAGACCGCCAGCUAAGGUCCCGGAAUGAUGGCUAAGUGGGAAAGGAAGUGGCACCGCUAAGACAGCCAGGAGGUUGGCUCAGAAGCAGCCAUCCUUGAAAGAGUGCGUAAUAGCUCACUGGUCGAGCGAUGCUGCGCCGAAGAUUCAACGGGGCUCAAGCCAUCUACCGAAGCUGCGGGUCCGGUGGCCUCGGUCGCCGGACGGUAGGGGAGCGUUCCGCGGUAGGUUGAAGGCAGACCGGGAGGACUGCUGGACGACGCGGAAGUGCGAAUGCCGGCAUGAGUAGCGAAAAGGCAGGUGGGAAUCCUGCCCGCCGUAAGGCCAAGGCUUCUUACGGAAGGCUCGUCCGCGUAAGGUUAGGCGGGACCUAAGGCGAGGCCGACAGGCGUAGCCGAUGGACAGCCGGUCGACAUUCCGGCCCCGCUCGGCAUCCGCAACGAGCCGCGGGGGGACGCAGGAGGGUAAGCCUACCGGGUGGUGGACGCCCCGGGCU
RNAcentral lists this ribosomal RNA (1659 nucleotides) under Pseudomonadota bacterium. RNAcentral's name for it is "partial 23S ribosomal RNA". It matches the Rfam family "Bacterial large subunit ribosomal RNA", at positions 1 to 1513 of the family's 2925-position model. The record is from RNAcentral. RNAcentral also lists the same sequence under 1 other name. Lineage: Bacteria; Pseudomonadati; Pseudomonadota.